Long non-coding RNA from Aquila chrysaetos chrysaetos, 2966 nucleotides. RefSeq lists it as uncharacterized. The record is from RefSeq and is a predicted model, not a curated record. Lineage: Eukaryota; Metazoa; Chordata; Aves; Accipitriformes; Accipitridae. The transcript has 3 exons.
GCACGUAUCGGGCUGGGGGAGCGGAGAGAAACACUUGCGAGUUCGAGGGCACUACGGAUGCUCCACGUUAAACCCACAGAAAAGGCAAAUUUGCUGCUAGUGCAGAAAAGCUGAUGGAAAAAUUGCUGUUAACAGAUCGUGCCCUGUUCCUGAACUCGUCCCUUGAUAUGUUUUUGUUUCAGGUGAAAGAACGAAAUUUCAUGUCUGGUAAAUUCAGAGCUGCCUGUUAGCUUCUUUAGGGUCGAGUCUUUCUCUUCUCUCUGUUCAUACUGUUUUUAUGGGCAAGUUGGAAAUAGCCUUUUACUUUUUUAUGUGUAACUGAAUUUUUAGGAAUAUGUGGUGUCCCUGUAGUUCAUUUUUGAGCACCUAGAUGCCAGUAGAAAUGUCAUGAGUGAAACGUGAUGGAAACUGGUACUUAAACUUGAUUUUUAUUUGAUUUUUUUUUUUUUUUUUCUUCUUCCCCAUUAAGAGUGUCGAUGGCAUGUUGUCCCAUGGCACAAUCCCCAUGCCAUUCAGCGGAGUCUUCAGUCUAGGACUUUUAAGUAAAAAAGUUUGUCCUUCCAAAAAAGGACUAGUCAGUCAUUCAUAGGACCGAGGCAUAGACUUGGAGAGUCGCUUAAGUACGUGACCAGAAUUAAAGCCAACUUUCAGUUGAUGUUGCUGCUGUUGGUCUUUGCUUUCACUGAUUUCUCCAGCACUCCGUCAUGGUUGGGACCUCUGAAUCGUAAUGUUUUUCAGUCUCUUACACAUUUCCACCUCCCCGCCACCCCCCCAAAAAAAGGAGAGGCAGUGUCUAAAAGUUAAUUAGUUUCCUCACAAAUGCAUGAGUAAAUAAAAUUUGAGUUAUGAUGAUUAAAACCAUAAAAAUGACACCAGUCUGGUGAGACAAUAGCAGAUCUGGACUACUUCUGAACAGGCAUUCAUCACACGCAAAAGUCGUCAGGGUGCGGAUCACCUGCGCUUCAUGCUCUGACGAGACAAAAUGCUGAGGCAGGGAUGAGCUCUGAAAGAGGGGGAAAAAAAAAAAAAAUAGCUACAGGGUCACGGUUUUGUUUUGUUGUUGUUUGUUUUUAAAAGAGUGCAAUAUUGACUGGUGCCAGCCUGCAGAGCUCUUCUGCUGCCUGACCUCUCCUUCUCUUUCAUGGCUGUAAUUGUUGUUUGGAUAAUUGUAGAAGAGCAAUUAAGUUACUUGCCUCUGUGAAUGUGCUGGUAAUACCAGGAAGGCAAAUGCUUGAACCAGUAGUGAAUAACUUGGCUACAAGCAGAAUUUCUGAAGGAAGAACAGCAGCAGCAACAGGAAGCAAAUAGCGAGUGACCAAAAAUUUGCGUGUGUCAAACGCAUCAAAGCUUUAUUGCCGAAUGUUGUUUGGCAAUAUGUUCCAAAUGGCUUUUUUUGGUAAACGUAAAUUUUUAGGAAGUUCAGGGUUGUGUGUGGCAAAAGGUGUCCCUCUGCGUACGCGUCCUGCUACGGUAAAUAGCAUGGGUCAGUGGCAAGUCCAGCGGCAGGGCUGUUGUUCCCUACUCUCGACGUUGCCAGAGCAGUGUUGCGGUAUUGAGACCUUAACGGACGGGCUGAGGAAUGGAAGGAGAAUGCCCGUUUUCUGUAAGGGCUCAGAAUGCCAACCCUUUUCUCUGUCUGCCGCUCCCCUGAGCGUGAGAUGAAGCUGUUUUAUUUUUCUCCCUUGUUCCUGGUCUAAAUAAUUCUGGAGCUGUUGCUGCUGUGGGUUUGCAAUUUGUGUUAUUGCAUUUUUGUAGCGUUCUAGCGAUGGGUCGUUUCUACUGGGGCGAAGCAUCGAGACGCGGUUUUUGGUGUAAAGCGUCAGAAACUACAUUCACCGAAACCGCUGGAUGUCAGCUGGCACCGUUUCGCCGUGCUUGCCCUUUCUUCUGCCAUGACAAUACGAGACAGAUGGAAAGAAUCCAUAGUGGUCUGCAAGUACAAGGAGUACUCGACAACCUUACUGAGAUAACUAGCAUCUGUGCUAAAAGCAAUCAAGGUCAUAGAAGAGACGUGGACAAAACAGGACAAAUUGGCGUCACAUCUGUGUGUUUUCCAGGCUUUCCCAGGAAGCAUUAGCAGCCUUGUAACUAGUGACAGUGAGUCCUGAUUGUUUUUGAUGAGUUACUGCUUCAGUAAUGUAUUUUUUCCUUUAACCUACAGCGUGUCAUUUUGACUUCAGUUGGAAAGAGAUUUUCCAAAAUGGAAGUCUUUGUCACUCAAAGAAAUUUUGUUUUAUGAACUUCCCAUCAGAGUGGAUCUUCAGAGGCGAUCGACUUGACAGUAGAAGUCAUCAGUAACAAGACUUUUCACUCUCUUUAAACAAAGAAAAAAAAAAAAAAAAAAGUCAAUUUCCUUCCAAAGACCCAAGCACAGCCCAUCUUCCUAAAGUUGAUGGCAUCGCUGGUCUUUGGUUUCUCAGUUGUAACCGUCGUGACAACAUGAAAAUGUGUUGCUCUGCGCGCUUCAGUACUGCCAAAAGCAUUAGGAAAUCCGCCAGUCCUUUUUGGUAGUCUGAGGUAUUGCAGCACUGGGGGUUUUACAAAUUGACCUGCAUUGUUUAAAGUGUAACUGCCAAAUAGCUGUAGUAUAUCAUUUAUGAGGUGUAUGUAAGCAGUUAGGUAUUUUUCUAAAUGUUUAAAAAGAGAGGCAACUGAAUGUUGUGGGUUUUCUUUCCUGACGUUUUGACGGAGUGCUCUGAAGUACUUACUUUCUGUCUGGCUUUCAAUGGUGUGUUUCCCUGGCAGUUCAGUAGCACCUCUCUUGGGCAGCGCAGCUGGCCAGGUGUUCCUCCUCAUUACGUAACACACACAAAAACCCCUAGUCACGUUAUAACUGUGUACUUUGGAGAUAGAUAAUUUAACGGUAGGAAUUCAGAGCUGUGCAAGUUAAGGUAAUGCAAAAGGAAAACCAAAUACUUUUACAGUAUAAGUAUUCUUAUUGGAUGUAUAUAAACGUGGGCACACCC